AACCUGUGAUGAAAAUGAUUCUGCCAAAUGAUAAACAUGAUUUAUCCCUAACCGUUCCAUUUUUUUCUGAGAGC
Non-coding RNA from Xenopus laevis (African clawed frog), 74 nucleotides. NCBI's taxonomy places the organism in Eukaryota, Metazoa, Chordata, Amphibia, Anura, Pipidae. The record is from Rfam.